This 982-nucleotide unclassified non-coding RNA is filed under the name Hevea brasiliensis (rubber tree). The record is from RNAcentral. Lineage: Eukaryota; Viridiplantae; Streptophyta; Magnoliopsida; Malpighiales; Euphorbiaceae.
GAACCUAGCGCUCCAACUGCUCUGCAUCUGUUUCCUCUCUGGCCUCUUCUGUGAAAGCCACAAACAAGAGGAAUCAUGGAGCGACAAAGCCUACAAUUUCAUCUUUUGGGCAGUAAUCAAACAUCUAAUUAUAAGGACAAGCCUUGGAGGAGCAAGGCUCUUUGCUUCUUUCUUUGUUUCUUUGCCAUCUCAAUUGUAGGCCUUAUAAUUGGAGGCAAUUUAACUACCUGGGUAUUACGAGGAGAAAACAACUUCAAUGAGAGGAUUAGAGUUAAUGAUGCUGAAAUUGUGGAGUCAGAGCAAGGAGUUGUCGCUGCUGAUGAUGGCCGAUGUUCUGAAAUCGGUGCAUCAAUGCUUAGACAAGGUGGGCAUGCUGUUGAUGCUUCAGUGGCAACAGCAUUGUGUGUUGGAGUUGUUAAUCCAAUGGCGAGUGGAAUAGGAGGUGGAGCUUUCAUGAUUGUCAGGUCAUCAUCGACUUCGAAAACUCAAGCUUUUGACAUGAGGGAAACUGCUCCCUUAGCUGCUUCAAAGAAUAUGUAUGCAAACAACAUUCAAAACAAGUAUUCAGGUCCACUGUCAAUUGGAGUUCCUGGUGAGAUUGCUGGCCUUCAUGAAGCUUGGUUACAGCAUGGACGUUUGGCUUGGAGGAAUUUAUUCCAACCUGCCAUAAAGCUUUCCAGAGAUGGUUUUAUCAUUGCUCCUUAUCUCGGAUUGGCAAUAGCUUACGGUGCAGAAAAAAUUAUGAAUGAUCCUGGAUUGCGGAAAGUGUUUGCACCAAAUGGGAAGUUGUUACAAGCUGGUGAUAGAUGUUAUAAUGUGGAGCUAGCCCGGAGCCUAGAGGCAAUAGCAGAACAAGGACCACAAGCCUUCUAUAAUGGCACUGUUGGUGAGCAGUUGGUGAAGGAUGUAAUAAAGGCUGGUGGGAUAUUAACAAUGGAGGAUUUAAGGAGUUACAAGGUAGAAAUAAUGGAUGCAAUGGCUG